AUGAUCCAUCCAAAGAAGCUUGCUCAGCUGGCCAAGAAGUGUCAGCGGAUGUUGGUGGCCAGAGCCGGUGCCCGCCAUUGGCAUGCCUCAGACACGACCGGCGACGAGUGCUGCAGCUCAGUGUCAUCUGUGGUUGCUGAUGAGGGCCACUGCGUGAUCUACACCGCCGAUGGAACCCGGUUCCAGGUCCCUCUGGUGUACCUCGGGACGACGGUCUUCGCCGAGCUUCUGAGGAUGUCUGAGGAGGAGUUUGGCUUCGUGAGCAGCUAG
Molecule: ribosomal RNA, 270 nt
Filed under: Triticum aestivum (bread wheat)
Lineage: Eukaryota; Viridiplantae; Streptophyta; Magnoliopsida; Poales; Poaceae
Description: partial small subunit ribosomal RNA
Source: RNAcentral